UACGAAGGGUGCAAGCGUUACUCGGAAUUACUGGGCGUAAAGCGUGCGUAGGUGGUUUGUUAAGUCUGAUGUGAAAGCCCUGGGCUCAACCUGGGAAUUGCAUUGGAUACUGGCAGGCUAGAGUGCGGUAGAGGGUAGUGGAAUUCCCGGUGUAGCAGUGAAAUGCGUAGAUAUGUGGAGGAAUACCGAUGGCGAAGGCAGCCCCCUGGGUCGAUACUGACGCUCAUGCACGAAAGCGUGGGGAGCAAACAGG
Molecule: ribosomal RNA, 253 nt
Filed under: uncultured bacterium
Lineage: Bacteria
Description: partial 16S ribosomal RNA
Rfam family: Bacterial small subunit ribosomal RNA
Source: RNAcentral